This 1228-nucleotide long non-coding RNA is filed under the name Lathyrus oleraceus (garden pea). RNAcentral describes it as "Pisum sativum (pea) long non-coding RNA (PSAT_LNC009622)". The record is from RNAcentral. Lineage: Eukaryota; Viridiplantae; Streptophyta; Magnoliopsida; Fabales; Fabaceae.
AGAAAGAAGCAGGUCGCGACGCUGUCUCCACCACCGACCGCGGCACUCACACGGCGGAGCACCCCACACGCCGUCUCUGUUUCCACCUCUAUCAACCUAAACCGAAAUACAACUACCUAAACAAAUCGAAAUCUAAAGCGAUCCGGCAACGGAACAAAAUUGAAUGGCGAACGCAGACGGAAUGAGAUUUGAUUCCGAUUCACAUUACAACAAAUGAAGUAAUCAUUGCGAAGAGAAGAAGAGAUCCUACCGACGAUGGCGAAGGAGGCGGAUUCGUCGGCAACGUCGAAUUCAAACUCAGGUAUCUAGAAACUCUAAUUCUCUGAUCUUCUUCCCUUGUUCGGUUGCGAGUUUCUUCUGUUGUAUGACUCGGCUUUGUGUUGUGGUUCGAACUGCAGAAUAGUUAUGGAGUUGUUGUGAGACUUUGAAGUUCGAUUUGUAGAGUUUUGUAGAUGGUAAUCUAUUGAGAGUUGAAGUUGCAAUUUGUUGCUCGAAUCGUUGUGCAUGAGUUGUUGGAGAUGGCGAGGAUAUGGAGUUGAGAGUUUUAUUUGCAGUGUGAGUUUUAUUUCAGGAAGAUGAAGAUGGUGAGAGUUGUGUUAUGCAGGUUUCGUGAUUCUGGAAAAAGGGGAAAGAAGAAGAACUUCAAGGCUAAUUCAGGUAUUUAUAUAGCUAUUGUGUAUUGGAUGUGAGAGUAAUUGAAUUGGACUUGGAUGUGCGUUUCAAUUGUGUUACGUUAUGUGUUUUCACCUUGUUUCAGUGCCGUUUUUUUUUUGCUGCUGCGCUUGAAUUUGUUAUGUAUUUGUUUGCUCCUGCGUUUCCUGCAUUUCAUCACUUACUGCGCUUGUACUCUCUUCCAAUUGCAUUUCAUUUUUUUUGUCUUAUUUGGAUGGCAUGAACUUGGGUUAUUGGAUAUGCAAUUUUGGAUCAUGGGAUUAACAUGUUGGGCUUAAGGAAUGUUAAUGCUGAAUUUUUAUUAUGAAAAAAAAUAAAUGGGCCAACUCUUUAGACUUAAGAAAUUGUGAUCUUUAUACUGAGUUUUAUCAUAGUAAAAAUGAUUGAAUGGGCCAACUAAUCAAUCAACACUACCAUGGCCCAUUGGUAAGAAAUGAUGUUAAAUUUCUAAAAUUGAAUUGAAACUUCUAAAAUCGGCAAAUUUACCGAGAUAACCCACUUUUUCGAAGAAAUUUCCAAAAUAACCCAUUUUUCAGGAAAAUUCCCAAUCUACCCC